Cinara cedri is the source of this 1281-nucleotide non-coding RNA. NCBI's taxonomy places the organism in Eukaryota, Metazoa, Arthropoda, Insecta, Hemiptera, Aphididae. The record is from the annotation of a GenBank genome assembly.
CCCGUCUCACAACCAAUUCUCCAGGCAUCUCUAUUCAUCGCCAAAUCCUUCCAGUUUGAUCCGCCUCCUAAGACUUCUAUAUCUCUCUUAACUAAAUCUUCCCAUCUCAAUUUUGGUCUUCCCAAAGGCCUUUUUUCUACUGGAUUCUGUUCUAAAACCAUUCUUAGUAAAGAGUUCUGGCUUCGCAUUGCAUGUCCUGCCCACCGCAACCUUUUUUUCUUGAUCGUCUCUGCUAUGUUAUUUUCAUUAAAAAUUUCUUGUAGCUCUAUAUUUUUCCUUCUUCUCCACUCUCCUGUGAUGUUAUCUUUUAUUGGACCGAAGAUCUUUCGUAAUAUUUUCCUUUCUAGUAUUAAAAACUUAUUCUCAUCUGAUUUCCUUAGUGCCCAGGUUUCCGAUCCAUACAAUAUCACUGGCCAUAUUAGACUAGUAUACAAACGUCUCUUUAUCUCUCUUGAUAAUGAUUUAGAACUUAAUAGUUUCUCCAAACCAUAAUAAGUCCUGUUUCCCGCUUGGAUUCUCGCGGCUACUUCCUUGGUGAUAUCAUUUUUUUCAGUCACAAUUGAGCCAAGAUAUUUGAAAGAAUUGACUCUCUUAAAUUUAAAAUGAUCUACCUCUAAAACGUGAUCCAUCCAAUUUUUUCUACCUUCAAUCAUAUAUUCAGUUUUUUGUUCAUUAAUUUGUAGUCCUACUUUCUGUGCUGCGUCAUUAAGUCUGUCACAGAGCCGUUUAACUCCAGGUUGAGAUUCGUCCAUCAGUACUAUAUCAUCGGCAUAUGCCAAUAAUGGAAUAGUCGAGUUCCGGAGUUUUAUUCCUUCAUGGGGUUCAAUUUGCAUCCCUCUUAUUACUUUUUCCAAUACCAGGUUGAAGAGAAUAGGUGAGAUGGAAUCAACCUGUCUAAGGCCGGAUUAUACUGUAACUGGAUCAGACUUCAUAUUUUUGACUUUUAUUUUNUAGCUCUAUAUUUUUCCUUCUUCUCCACUCUCCUGUGAUGUUAUCUUUACCAAAUUGAAGAGAAUAGGUGAGAUGGAAUCACCCUGUCUAAGGCCGGAUUUUACUGUAACUGGAUCAGACUUCAUAUUUCUGACUUUUAUUUUGAUCACGGUUUCCAUGAUGCUGAUUGACACUAGAUUGACCAACUUCUGGGGAAAAUGGAACUCUUUCAGAAUAUUUAUGAGACUUUCCCUAUGAAUACUGUCGUAUGCUUUUUUGAAGUCAACGAAUAGCGUAUGUAUUUCCCUAUCGAAUUCCCACAUUUUUUGAUAUAAUUGUCUAAUAAUAAAU